AUCCCAAGGCAAGAGCUAUUUAUUUCAGCACCCAUUUCACAGGUGGGAAAAUGGAAGUGCCAGCACGUUAAAUGGGAACCAAGUGGCAAGUUUUCAAUGAAAGGAAAAAGCAACUGGAGGGCUGCCGAGGACCUACCCAUCAAUUAACUGCCCCACCCCACCCCAACUUCUGCCUCCUCUUCCUUUGUCUCCUCAGCCACACUUAACAGUUCCUCCUUGUCAGGCUACCUUGGCCAGCAUUGACUGUGGCAUAUGCACAAAAUGAAAGAAAGCAACUUGGCAGAGCCAGGCUGGAGUAGAAACCACAAAUGGCCCAUUUGCAAGAGAAGCUUAAAAUACAUUUGUUUGUUUUGCUUGGAGCUUAAAAUAAAAUUGAAUUAAAUGCCAA
This is a long non-coding RNA of Mastomys coucha (southern multimammate mouse), 388 nucleotides long. RefSeq lists it as uncharacterized. Lineage: Eukaryota; Metazoa; Chordata; Mammalia; Rodentia; Muridae. The transcript is spliced from 2 exons. The record is from RefSeq and is a predicted model, not a curated record.